RNAcentral lists this ribosomal RNA (83 nucleotides) under Klebsiella pneumoniae. Lineage: Bacteria; Pseudomonadati; Pseudomonadota; Gammaproteobacteria; Enterobacterales; Enterobacteriaceae. The record is from RNAcentral. RNAcentral also lists the same sequence under 2 other names.
UGGCGGCACUAGCGCGGUGGUCCCACCUGACCCCAUGCCGAACUCAGAAGUGAAACGCCGUAGCGCCGAUGGUAGUGUGGGGU